Molecule: ribosomal RNA, 497 nt
Filed under: uncultured bacterium
Lineage: Bacteria
Description: partial 16S ribosomal RNA
Rfam family: Bacterial small subunit ribosomal RNA
Source: RNAcentral
GAUGAACGCUGGCGGCGUGCCUAAUACAUGCAAGUCGAGCGAACAGACGAGGAGCUUGCUCCUCUGACGUUAGCGGCGGACGGGUGAGUAACACGUGGAUAACCUACCUAUAAGACUGGGAUAACUUCGGGAAACCGGAGCUAAUACCGGAUAAUAUAUUGAACCGCAUGGUUCAAUAGUGAAAGACGGUUUUGCUGUCACUUAUAGAUGGAUCCGCGCCGCAUUAGCUAGUUGGUAAGGUAACGGCUUACCAAGGCAACGAUGCGUAGCCGACCUGAGAGGGGGAUAGGCCACCCUGGAACUGAGACACGGUCCAGACUCCUACGGGAGGCAGCAGUAGGGAAUCGUCCGCAAUGGGCGAAAGCCUGACGGAGCAGCGCCGCGUGAGUGAUGAAGGUCUUCGGAUCGUAAAACUCUGUUAUGAGGGAAGAACAAAUGUGUAAGUAACUAUGCACGUCUUGACGGUACCUAAUCAGAAAGCCACGGCUAACUACGUG